RNAcentral lists this microRNA precursor (87 nucleotides) under Oryzias latipes (Japanese medaka). Its description in RNAcentral is "microRNA ola-mir-21 precursor (ola-mir-21-2)". Its record names the gene ola-mir-21-2. The stretch from base 8 to 80 matches the Rfam family "mir-21 microRNA precursor family". RNAcentral also lists the same sequence under 1 other name. Lineage: Eukaryota; Metazoa; Chordata; Actinopteri; Beloniformes; Adrianichthyidae. The record is from miRBase by way of RNAcentral.
CCCGGCCUGUCAGAUAGCUUAUCAGACUGGUGUUGGCUGUUAAGAUUGCAAGGCGACAACAGUCUGUAGGCUGUCUGACAUUUUGGG